UUUCGUUAACAUCGGUUUUAGCAAUAACCGAUGUUAAUAUAGCGAUGUAGAAAACCUUUUUUUUUAGUAGUGCUUCAUCAUUGAGAGGGAAACAAUUUGGAUCACUAACUAAGGUCCUUAAAUGACCGCUCAAUGAUGAAGGAGGCAGGGAUGCAGAGACUACCAAGAGGUUUGCCUAGAAGUGGCCACCCUUGAAAGAGUGCAUAAUAGCCCACUGAUCCAGUGCUCUUGUGCCGAAGAUGAACGGGACUAAGUGAUCUGCUGAAGUUGUGGGAUGUAAAAAUGAAUCGGUGAGGGAGCUUUCCGCCUUAGAGGGAAGGACUUGCAAGAGUAGUGCUGGAUGAAGUGGAAGUG
RNAcentral lists this non-coding RNA (354 nucleotides) under Glycine max (soybean). RNAcentral describes it as "Bacterial large subunit ribosomal RNA". It matches the Rfam family "Bacterial large subunit ribosomal RNA", at positions 909 to 1290 of the family's 2925-position model. Lineage: Eukaryota; Viridiplantae; Streptophyta; Magnoliopsida; Fabales; Fabaceae. The record is from Rfam by way of RNAcentral.